RNAcentral lists this long non-coding RNA (316 nucleotides) under Manihot esculenta (cassava). Its description in RNAcentral is "long non-coding RNA (MESC_LNC008055)". The record is from RNAcentral. Lineage: Eukaryota; Viridiplantae; Streptophyta; Magnoliopsida; Malpighiales; Euphorbiaceae.
GCUCAACUAAGCAUGCACUAAAUUAAAAUAGUCAAAAAGUUAAAAUCCCACUAGUCUUGUGCCAUUUACAUCUCAAUUAAAUGCCCAAAGAAAAAGUUGUUCUCUAGAAUUUCAUUUGAAUGAAAGACAUUUACAGAUCAUGAGGCAGACCCAGCUAGCAGUUGCCUAAUAAAAAUACUUGUGCUCAUCAUCAAGAGCUCAUGUAUGGUCAAUUUCAAAUGGGUCUAUUUUCUUUCUCAGUGAUGGCUAAACCAAGCAAAAUCUCCCAAUCUGUGAGAAGCUGGGGGUACAAGUAGCUGUAAUAUGGUCAUAAAAC